This is a long non-coding RNA of Vidua chalybeata, 242 nucleotides long. RefSeq lists it as uncharacterized. The transcript is spliced from 3 exons. NCBI's taxonomy places the organism in Eukaryota, Metazoa, Chordata, Aves, Passeriformes, Viduidae. The record is from RefSeq and is a predicted model, not a curated record.
GGGGAGGGAAAGGAAGCACAGGAUCAUCUGUGCUGCAGAUCACAGAAUCAUAAAGGUGAUUCCACCUCUUCCCUACAGAGAGGGGGGAUCCUUGCCUGGGACCUCCAGCAGGCAGCACCACUGGGAAAUGGGAACUCCCCAAACUCUCCCCAAAAACAACUUCUGAAAAAGAGAGGACAAAUUAUGGCGUGUGAUGAGCUAUAUACCCUCAUAGUCAACCUCUCUUCAAGGCAAACCUUGGU